RNAcentral lists this long non-coding RNA (410 nucleotides) under Homo sapiens (human). Its description in RNAcentral is "non-protein coding lnc-RPL39L-1:2". The record is from RNAcentral. Lineage: Eukaryota; Metazoa; Chordata; Mammalia; Primates; Hominidae.
AACCGGGGCUGGAGGCUCUCAUACAGGGCUGCAGGAAAUGAGUGCCCAGAGCUACAGCCUCCUGUCCAUGGGAAAAUCGAGCCCUCCCAAGCCAAGUAUUUCUUCAAAGACCAAGUGCUCGUCAGCUGUGACACAGGCUACAAAGUGCUGAAGGUGCAGAGCCUUGCCUGGGAAAGGGGAGUGACCAGGCCACAGAAACUCUCGAAACCUGCCCCUCCCCAGGGCAGAUGGGCUGCCAGAACUUGUCAUAGUUCCAGCACAGAAUUUCCUAGCUGCCCAUCAACUUCUCAAAUGCUCCAGAAAUUCCAAAGCAUGCGUCCCAGGCGGUCUCACACUCUGAAAGUGGCACAAAAGUUUGUUUUUUUUUUUUUUUUAAUCAGAGCAUGAGCUGGUUUGAAUUUUUAAAAUAU